UCCGGUUUGUCACCGGCAGUCUGGCGUGAGUCCCCAACUCAAUGCUGGCAACACGCCACGGGGGUUGCGCUCGUUGCGGGACUUAACCCAACAUCUCACGACACGAGCUGACGACAGCCAUGCAGCACCUGGACACUCAGUUCCCUUGCGGGCACACCCACGUCUCUGCGGACUUCUGAGGGGUUCCAACCCAGGUAAGGUUCUGCGCGUUGCGUCGAAUUGAACCACAUGCUCCACCGCUUGUGCGGGUCCCCGUCAAUUCCUUUGAGUUUUAGCCUUGCGGCCGUACUCCCCAGGCGGGGUGCUUAACGCGUUAGCUUCGACACAGCCGGGGUCAAUACCGGCUACAUCUAGCACCCAUCGUUUACGGUGUGGACUAC
This 380-nucleotide unclassified non-coding RNA is filed under the name uncultured Kofleriaceae bacterium. RNAcentral describes it as "contains 16S-23S intergenic spacer region". The record is from RNAcentral. Lineage: Bacteria; Pseudomonadati; Myxococcota; Haliangiales; Kofleriaceae.